UUAAUUGAAGCCAAAAAGAGGCUUAUCACUGUUAAUGAUAGAACUGAGAUAUAUACUCCAAUUAAA
Molecule: transfer RNA, 66 nt
Filed under: Sarcophaga similis
Lineage: Eukaryota; Metazoa; Arthropoda; Insecta; Diptera; Sarcophagidae
Description: tRNA-Asn
Source: RNAcentral